GUGUGGAAAUUAAAAGAACACACAUAUUUUGACUGGGGCUUUGAUCAACCAAAUGCUAAAAAGCCACAUAAAGAAGAUCCCUAAUAGUCAUUUCUCAACAAUUAUAUAGUCAACUGAUGUAACAAUGGUACUAAUAUUGGGACGCAGACUAAACAGAGAGGAUCUUGGGGUGCGUGAUUCCCCAGCAACUAAGCGAAAAGUUUUUGAAAUGGACCCCAAAUCUCUGACAGGUCAUGAGUUUUUUGACUUCUCUUCAGGAUCAUCCCAUGCCGAAAACAUACUCCAGAUAUUUAAUGAAUUUCGUGAUAGCCGCUUAUUCACAGAUGUUAUCAUUUGUGUGGAAGGAAAAGAAUUUCCUUGCCAUAGAGCUGUGCUCUCAGCCUGUAGCAGCUACUUCAGAGCUAUGUUUUGUAAUGACCACAGGGAAAGCCGAGAAAUGUUGGUUGAGAUCAAUGGUAUUUUAGCUGAAGCUAUGGAAUGUUUUUUGCAGUAUGUUUAUACUGGAAAGGUGAAGAUCACUACAGAGAAUGUACAGUAUCUCUUUGAGACAUCAAGCCUCUUUCAGAUUAGUGUUCUCCGUGAUGCAUGUGCCAAGUUCUUGGAGGAGCAACUUGAUCCUUGUAAUUGCUUAGGAAUCCAGCGCUUUGCUGAUACCCAUUCACUCAAAACACUCUUCACAAAAUGCAAAAAUUUUGCGUUACAGACUUUUGAGGAUGUAUCCCAGCACGAAGAAUUUCUUGAGCUUGACAAAGAUGAACUUAUUGAUUAUAUUUGUAGUGAUGAACUUGUUAUUGGUAAAGAGGAGAUGGUUUUUGAAGCCGUCAUGCGUUGGGUCUAUCGUGCCGUUGAUCUGAGAAGACCACUGUUACACGAGCUCCUGACACAUGUGAGACUCCCUCUGUUGCAUCCCAACUACUUUGUUCAAACAGUUGAAGUGGACCAAUUGAUCCAGAAUUCUCCUGAGUGUUAUCAGUUGUUGCAUGAAGCAAGACGGUACCACAUACUUGGGAAUGAAAUGAUGUCCCCAAGGACUAGGCCACGCAG
Molecule: non-coding RNA, 1044 nt
Filed under: Homo sapiens (human)
Lineage: Eukaryota; Metazoa; Chordata; Mammalia; Primates; Hominidae
Source: RNAcentral